RNAcentral lists this long non-coding RNA (6368 nucleotides) under Vitis vinifera (wine grape). Its description in RNAcentral is "long non-coding RNA (VVIN_LNC001190)". The record is from RNAcentral. Lineage: Eukaryota; Viridiplantae; Streptophyta; Magnoliopsida; Vitales; Vitaceae.
AAUCUGCAAGCACAAAGCCCCAAUUCACCCGAAACCCUAAUGUAUGAACUCAAGAUUUGAAAGAAAAACUCGGAUUCGGAGAUCCUCUGCUACGGUUCUCACUUGAUCGAUUCUUUUACUAAGCUAUGUUUGACGCCAAAAGUUGCGACGCCAGCUUUCUAUUCAUUGGGCAGUUUCUCCCCUACACGCCUAUUAUUCCCUAUUUUUCUCUUGUUUUCCCUUACAAGCAAAGUCGAAAACGGGUUUCCCUUCAGAUCUUUUGCCACCCUGUCCACGUUGAAGCGUUGAUAGGCUGGCAGUUGAGCCUCUAUUGGGUUCAUAUCCACGGAGCUAGGUUUUGCAAUGGGUCUUUUUGCGUAACCCGGCCCGCCGCACAUCUAUUGGGUCAGGUACUUCACUGGGAUUCCGAAGUGAGGAUUGAAAUGUUGAAAAUUUUCGGCGAGCUUAUCGGUCGAUAGAAAUUUCGGUAACUUUAAAAAAUAUCGCCGAUAUUUCGUCCUUUAUCGACAUUUUUACCGGUUUUUCGGAAAAUUUCCCGAUAUUUCCUACCAGUCCAGCCCGCGCACAGGAUACAAAAUCUGUCCAAUUUUUUUAAAAAAAUACAUAAGAUGCUAUUUGGUAAUCUGAUCAUGAUUUGCAGGCGAAGGUUGUGUUUUUCAGCCUGGCUCAAAAAUCGUGGAUUUAGGGUUCGUGAAAUUUAAAUCCAAUGGCAUAAAAGCAAAGAGACCCUUAGAACAGAUCCAGAAAACACAGGGAGAAAAAAAAAAAGGCACUUUUUUGGUUUUCCUUCGGGGUUUUGCAUGGAUUUUCUCGGAAAUCAAACGAGGAUGAAUUUUCCCGGAAAUAGAAUGGGGGAUGGAUUUUCUCGGGAAUCAAACAGGGGUUGCAAAAAAAAAUAAUAAUAAUAAUAACAUGAUUAGAUUAGUACCUGCGAGGAUUGAGAGUGGCAGAGGAAAAUAGGGCCUUUUUAGGGAUUCUCUCGUCUGGAGGGCAACUUCAGAAAAGGGCUUCUUGAUGCCCGAGUGAGUGAAGUGGGCGGCCCUUUUGAUUUUUAGAUUUAGUAGGAAUAAAAAUAAAAAAUAAAAAGGAAUUAAAUCAUGAGAACAAUUUUCCUCUCCCUAUAUAAAUAAUUAUUAAUUAUCCAUCUUUGGAUUAAAUCUCGGUUAUUAUCGGUGAUUUUUAUAAAUUAAAAUUAAUUUGAUAAUAAAUUAUUAAUAAUUAUAGUUAUUUAAAUAAAUUAAUGUUAAUAGAAAAAGUUAUUAUCACAUAUUUUUUAAUAAAAUUUUAGAAAUUAAAUCUUAAAUAAAAUAUUUUAUAUAAAUUAAUUUAAUUUUUUAUUUAAAAUGUAUUAAAAUAUGUUUUAAUAAAAAUAUCUUAAAAUUUUUUAAAUAAAUAUUGUUUUCAACAAGAUGAGCUCCCUUCAUCUCACAAUAUGAUGAAAUUACAUCGAUCUUCAUUUUGAUAUCAAAGACUAUUGCAUUGUCAUAUAUAUUAUAUUUAUGUAUAAAUUGUUUUUAUUCAAUAAAAUCAAAUAUUUUUUUUAACUUAAUUCUAACUUUAUACACUUCCAAAAUUCAUAUUUAUUAUUCUUCAAAUUCAAAUAUUGAAUCUAUCAAUAUAUCUCUAUCUACUGAUGUUUUUCUUCUUGAUCAUAUCUAUAUCAAUUACACUUAUAAAAUAACUUUAAAAUGUGUAUUCUUACUUAUUUUAUCAUUUUUUUUGGAGUUUUUUCAAGCAUUCCUAUGAAUUUUAAAUAAUUUUUACUCCACCGAUAUUUGUGAAAAAAUAUCCGUCCAUAUUUCUCAUAUAUUUCCAAUAUAUUCAUAAAAUCGAAGUAUCGAUAUAUCCGUAAUUAUCGAUAUUUUCAUUAUUGUUCCAAAGGGAUCAAAGAACUUUUUGAAAACUGCUAAUGAUUUGGAACGAACGAAUUUGGUUUUAUAUCAACCUGCCGAUCCUACUGGUUUAUAAGAGAAUUACAACUUUACCCUUCAACUUUUUGAAUAUCCCUUAAAAGCUUUCUAUUAAACAACUCUUUCUUCGAACCACUGGUGUAACUUGGAUCGUUUCCAUUAAUAUGAACCAAAUUCAACAUUUUAAUAAAUUUUGAACAAUCGCUUUCAAUACUCAAAUUAAUCUUUGAUUAAAGUUAUUUCAACCCGAACUCAAUUUGAGUUAGAUUUUGCUCAAAAUUCAAAUAAUUUAACCCUAACUCAAACUCGAUUAAUGUUUUUAUAAUAUUUAUAAAACAUAUUAUCUUAUAUAAUAAUAUUAAUUUUCCUUUUAGAUUUUUAAGAAAAAAACAUAUCAAAUUACCCAAGCCAAAAGCAAGGGUAACUUUGUUAAUUUUGCAUAUCCAAGAGAAAGGUAAAACAUGCAAAAAUAGAGAAUAAAAGGCAUUUUAGGGGAAAAACUACCCAAUGAAUAGAAAGUCGAGGUCGCAAUUUUUGGCGUCAAACAUAGCUUAGUAAAAUAAUCAAUCAAGUGAAAACCGUAGCAGAGGAUCUCCGAGUCCGAGUUUUUCUUUUAAAUUUUGAGUUCAUACAUUAGGGUUUUGGGUGAAUUGGGGCUUCGUGCUUGCAGAUUAUUUGGAAUACGCUUGCUGAAUCGAAUGACCACAUUUGCGACUUGUAGGAGGUACGCCGGGAAAAUUGGCACGGUUUCAGGAACCAGGACUACUCUCUACAAAUUCAAAGCGUUUAGUGUGGGGGGGAAAUUGAAUACCACCUCUGCGAUCCAGUUCUUAGCUUAUUUAUCUUCUUUUUCUUCGCCUUUUGGAUUUUUUUUUUUCUAAUGGCAUGAUUUGCUAAACUCCUUACAUCAAAAUGCGAAUCACAGUAAGACCCACAGCUGAAAUAGAAACAAGGGUACCUAUGCAGUAUUUUAUCACAUCAUACUUUGCAGCUUCUAACUGAGCCCUUAGUGCAUGAAUUUCCUGGGAUUAAGAAAAAGAAAACAACCCGAAAAAACUUUAGAAAACAAAAACAAAGAUUGAACCUCAUAGAUAUCCAACUACACUUGUGAUACUCACCCGAUCUAGUUUGUUAGUGAGGCUAGUGGUUUCUGCAUUCUGAUUUGCUAACUCAUCUCGUAUCCUCCUGAUGAUGAAUAGUAAGAAAUGAUACAUUCAGUAACAAAGAUAUCUAUCUAAUUGAAACAUAAUCCUAUCAUAUUCAAGAAACAAUUUAUAUAGUUUGUUUUCCUUACCCCCUUUCAAGAUUUAAAUCUAAACGUUGUCCAACAGUGACUUUGUCAAUUUCAUACCUGUGUUACAAUGCAUGUCAUUGUCCUAUAAAAAAGUAUAAAAAAUAUAUAUCCUUACAUCAUAUAAGGAAAAAAUUGUUGCAAAAUAUCUAUGUAAAACCAGACCUUAGUUCACUACGCAUCUUUUCUAUAUCACUUCGAAGUUUCUCAGUUUCAUGUUGCAAGACAGAAAAAUGAUGUCCCUGCAUUAUUGUUUGUUGAGACAGAGUCAAAAUAUUUUACAUGACACUGCUACUAUAGUUUAAAUGAAAAAGCAAUUAAGAAAAUCUAGUUUUACAAAAUAAAUAAUGCAAAUAAAAGAAAACUGAUGAUUGUUGGCCAUGAUACACCUAAAAAGUAACUAUCCACCGUCCAUUAAAAAAAAAAGAGUUAAAAGGAGUUAUCCAUAAAAUUAAAGUAGAUGCAUGAGGUGUAAGGUUGUUUGACGAAACAACAUAUCAAAAAUUAAAGUAAAUUAAAGUGGAUGCAUGAGGUGAAAAUUGGUUGUCCACCGAAACAACAUAUUAAUAAAAUGUGUCACUAAAGUGAAAGUGCUAUGUGGGUCAAUCACAAGACAAGAAAACCACACGCUAAAUUAUGAAAGCAUUUGUGAGAACUAAGGAUAAAAUAAAUAAAUAAAUAAUUUGAGGAAAUAUAUAAAAGCUGGGUACUGUUGUUAUUUGAAAAGGAACUAGCUUUUUAUAUCAAUGGCUAACAAUAAAACUCAGCAGAAAAAACAAGCUGAUAUCAGCAACUAUGUCAUCGUACAUGACUAUUUACAUAUGCAUUUCUAAAAGUUAAUGAAAGAUCAAAGAUAACUAGAUAACUAGAUAACUAGAUAACUACGAAAACACAGUGGCCACCCUGACUUUGACCACUUUCUACUCAUUAGUGCUUAACCCUGUUGCUUGCUAGUUGCCCAACACUCAAUAACCUUGCUUUUUGCUUUAACAAGUUGUUAUCAGCAACUAUGCCAUGAUACAUGGCUAUAUAUAAGCAUUUUCAAAAAUUGAGGAAGUAGACAUGAACACACAGAGGCAACCCUGACUUCGACUGCUUUCUACUCACUUGUGCUUAACCCUGUUGCCAGUCGGUUGCCUCACACUAAACAACCUUGCUCUUUUCAUUAUCGUUGAAUGGACAAGAAUAACAUUAGAUCAUCACUAGGCAGAAAAACCUAAAUUGAGGUCUUUUAAGUUAGGGAGCAUAUGAGAAAAGAGUAGUUUUGUAAUCUUUUCAACAGUAGAUUUUCAAACUAAAAACAAAGCACUUUAAUGUGUGGACCUCUAUUCCUAAUAGGCGGCAAUUGAUUACAUGAAUUAUGACACACAACAAGUGCACUACUUUAUAAGAUCUGUGUAAAAGCAUUUGUUACAUGCUAAAGGUGCAUUCUCUUAUCAUCAGAAAACAGAAUCUUUACGACAGAAAGAAACUAAAUUUGAACAACAUCAACACAAUUAAUCAGUAUAAUAAUGAAGUCAAAUACCACUGGUUGUAUCUCAAUAACACUAAUUAUUUCUUUCACUACAAAUGUAAUUACAAAUAUUGUGACAAAGAUGCAAGGUUUAUAGAGGUAAUUAAUGUCUUAACGUUUUAUCUUACAAUGCUAUGAUAUCAUCAUCACAAAUCAUCCUAAAAUUUGGUUCAACAGGAAAUACACUAAAAAUGCUAUGCGAAGAUCUGGAACUAAAUAAUUUCCCUAUAACACCAGAAACAAUGCUCAUCCAAUAGAUUUUGAAAGAGGAUACAGAAUACCAUUCCAAAAUAGAUAUACAAUCAUGAAAAAGGUUAUCACUUGCUAAAUAAGCCAGUACCUGAGAGCUUUCAACUUCAGAUUUGAAUUUGGACAAAUUGGAUUCUUGAGUCAUUUCAAUCUGUAGGCAACAUCAAUGCAUGUGAAUUAACAAUACCAGCAAAUGAAAUUUAACAUUGUAAUUAUAAAAGCCUAAAGCUGUUGACAUGUCUUAUAUAUAAACAUGGAGCAUAACAAGCCAUGGACCUACAGGCACCCCAGAAUCAAUUAACCUUAUUUUCUGUAUUUCGCCCUUAGAAACCAAGGACUGAGCCACAUUCUCCAAACUGUCAUUCAAGACUUCAGUUAUGGUAGAUGUUAUGGCCUCAGCAUGUUUUGACGGUAUGCCCUGAGCUUCUAAUUUCCUAACCUGAGACAAGACACCAUGUCAUUAGCGAUUCUCGAAUUCCAUCUGAGAUUAAACUCCAUGCUUAAAGUAAUAGAAAUUACAUUCUUGAAUCAUAUAACUUUUCUUUAGUUGCGAUACUAGAAAAUAAAAUCUACACUGAAAAAUGAGCCUAGUUCUGAUUUCCAUAAUUCUUGGAAAUACAAUUUAAAUAUCAUUUUUUUAUUUUCUUGGAAAACGAAAAUGCAAAUCAAGACUAUAACUAAAAACUGAAACAGCAAAGAAAAUAUGAAUAUGAUUACCAGAGCCAAUGUGUCAACCAGGAAAAAUCGCCCUCCGUUAGACUUCACGAACUGAGAAAACGGCCGAUAAUAAGAUCUUCUGCAAUAUCCAGAAGGCGAAGAAAAAGAAGAUAAAGAAGCUAAGAACUGGAUCGCAGAGGUGGUAUUCGAUUUCCCCUCCACACUAAACGCUUUGAAUUUGUAAAGAGCAGUCCCGAUUCCUGAAACUGUCCCAAUUUUCCCGGCGUACCUACAAGCCGCAAAUGCGGUCAUUCGAUUCAGCAAGCGUAUUCCAAAUAAUCUGCAAGCACAAAGCCCCAAUUCACUCGAAACCCUAAUGUAUGAAGAUUUGAAAGAAAAACUCGGACUCGGAGAUCCUCUGCUAGGUUUUCACUUGAUUGAUUAUUUUACUAAGCUAUGUUUGAUGCUAAAAAUUGCGACACCGGCUUUCUAUUCAUUGGGCAGUUUCUCCCCUAAAACGCCCAUUAUUCUCUAGUUUUAUCUUGUUUUCCCUUACAAGCAAAGUCGAAAACGGGUUUCCCCUCAGAUCUUUUGCCACCCAACAUUGAAGCGUUGAUAGGCUAGUAGUUGAGCCUCUAUUGGGUUCAUAUCCACGGAGCUAGGUUUUGCAAUGGGGCUUUUUGCGUAACCCGGCCCGCCGCACAUCUAUUGGGUUAGGUUAUUCACUGGGAUUCCGAACGGAUCGGAG